AAAUAAUAUAGGGUCCUAGGCCACUUUGAGGAGUUGUGGAAAUCUACAAAACUAUUCCUCAGAACAACGCAGGUGAGCAAAUACACACAUUUUGUCUGUUUUUAGAAGGCAGUCAUCCAGGACUGGGAAGGGGCACGCUGGAAGAAUCUAAGCCCCAGUGAAGGGUCCCAAGUGGAAGAUGAAGAAUGAUGAGGAUGUAAAUUCUUGGUGUCUGGGGGAAGCCUGAAAGACUGGAGGCUAAGACCAGCCUUGAAAAUGUAUAACAGGAGACUAAGUGGCAUUUUCUCCCAUUGUCUCAGACUGGCUGACAGUGGCACAGAGCUAGGGAGAUUUCUGCACCACCGCAAUUCUCCUUCUCCUUCAUCUCUUUCAUCUUCCUUCAGCUCUUUCUUUUCCUUCUCCUUCUUCCUUUCCUUCUCCUUUUAUUCCUCUUUCUCUUCCUCCUCACCCUGGUGGGAAUUCAGCUGAGCAGAGAUGAAGGCAGCAACAUCCAGACGUGACAAAUGACCUGUCGCUCCAACAGAAACCGCUAGAAUCAAACACAAAGAAAGGAAAUGGAUGGGAAGAAGUCAAUUUUGAGAUUACUUCCCAGCCCCAAUAAACUGCAAUUUCUUGAAAAACCAGUUGCAUAUGUUUGGCAGCAGCUUUGCCAAGAAGGUCCUCUGAGAAAGGAUUCCAGAUGGAUAGUAUGUUUCCCCAAUAAGUCUCUUGUCUCCAGGCUCCAGGAAGACCUGGCAGGGGCCGGCGUUGCAGCCCAACACACAUGAGGGACCCAUUGGCUUCUUCAAACUUCCCACUAAAUGUUGUGAUUAACCACGCUGUGGCUCCAAUUAGAUCAAAUCAAAGCAACAUGUUAAAAGAAUAGCAGCAGGAGGUAAUGUGCAUAUCAUUAAAGAACAAGUUACAAAUAUGAGUCCUUUGGUGAGCCUAAUAGACACAUGUCGCGUGGAGCUGAGACAAAUGUUGAGUCUGCUGGUUUGAGGUUGCACCCUGAGUUUGCCAUGGGUUGGGAGCUGAGUAGAUAUUAGUAAGAAUGUUAUUAAGGAAUAAUAGCUAUUUUUUAGGGCUUCCUAUGUGCCAGACACUGUGUGAAGUGCUUUGCAUGCAAUACUAAUGAAGUAGGUUGUAUUUAUUCCAUUUUAUGCUGAAGAAACUGAGGACCUAAGCAGAUGGGAGAACUGAUAAAGGUUAAACAGUUAACUAGUGGCUGGGUCUGCCUGAAUCCAAAGUCCACCUGAUUUUAAUUUUUUAUUGAAAUUCAGGUAUAACUUACAUAUAGGAAGAUACGGACAUCUUAAGUGUAAGGAACUAUUACCUAUGUGUACACCUAUGCAACCACCACCCAGCUCAAGCUAUGGAGCAUCCCUUGCCUUCCAGAAGGUUCUCUUAUGCCCCUUUUCCAGUCACUAUCACUCCCAAAGAAAGUGCUGCUCAGAGUAGUUUUGCCUGUCCUUGAACUUCAUAGGUGGCAGCCUACAGUGUGUGCUGUUUUGUAUCCAGCCUCUUUCACUCAACUUGUUUUUGAGAUUUACCCAUGUGUAUAGUGCUUGAAUUAGUAGCUCAUUCAUUUUUCAUUGCUGAGUAGUAUUCCACUGUAGAAAUAUACUGCACUUGAUUGAUUUGUUCUGCUGAUAGAAAUUCAGGUUGUUUCCAGUUUUUAAGGCCAAGGGCUUUUAACCACACAUAUUUCACUGUAGAUUGAUGAAGGCAGCUGGGUUACUUGUUGUCGUUGUUGUUUGUUUGUUUGUUUGUUUGUUUGAGACAGAGUCUCAGUCUGUCACCCAGGCUGGAGUGCAUUGGCGUGAUCUUGGCUCACUGCAACCUCCGCCUCCUGGGUUCAAGCGAUUCUCCUGCCUCAGCCUCCCAAGUAGCUGGGAUUACAGCUGCAUGCCACCAUGCCUGGCUAAUUUUUUUUUUUUUAAUUAGAGACAGGGUUUCGCCAUGUUGGUCUGAUCUCGAACUCCUGCCUGCCUCGGUCUCCCAAAGUGCUGGGAUUACAGGCGUGAGCCACCACACCCGGCCAGCUGAGUUACUUGUAAUAGUCGGGAAGGGGAACUUACAUGAAAAAAGAAGGAGGUUUCAGAGGUCACAACUAUGAGCAGUAAAGCUAAGAAAAAAUGAAAGCUGAACGGGACCCUCUUACUCUCAGAUUUCUGCAUGGCUCCCGCCCUUGUCUUUCAUUCCAGCCUCUGUUCAGAUGUCACAUUCUGCAUACAAUGGC
This 2221-nucleotide long non-coding RNA is filed under the name Homo sapiens (human). RNAcentral's name for it is "non-protein coding lnc-RYBP-6:1". Lineage: Eukaryota; Metazoa; Chordata; Mammalia; Primates; Hominidae. The record is from RNAcentral.